RNAcentral lists this ribosomal RNA (253 nucleotides) under uncultured bacterium. Its description in RNAcentral is "partial 16S ribosomal RNA". It matches the Rfam family "Bacterial small subunit ribosomal RNA", at positions 524 to 776 of the family's 1533-position model. The record is from RNAcentral.
UACAGAGGGCGCAAGCGUUGUUCGGAUUCAUUGGGCGUAAAGGGUGCGUAGGUGGCGCGCUAAGUCAGGUGUGAAAUUUCGGAGCUUAACUCCGAAACUGCAUUUGAUACUGGCGUGCUUGAGGACUGGAGAGGAGACUGGAAUUCAUGGUGUAGCAGUGAAAUGCGUAGAGAUCAUGAGGAAGACCAGUGGCGAAGGCGGGUCUCUGGACAGUUCCUGACACUGAGGCACGAAGGCCAGGGGAGCAAACGGG